AGGAGUUUAUACUCUGCCUGGGCUUUCCAUCUGUCUUCCAGACCGAGCGGGUUGGAGGAGACAGCAGUGUCUGAAAUGUUUUAAGUCGUUCAUACAGGCAUCGACCAGCUGCGACCUAUGGACAGCGAAUAUUAUACACGAGACUGUAAGCAAACAAAUUACUUAAUUUAUCAAAGCUAGAAAGCAUACUCACCAUCAACACUCCAUAAACGAGCCAAGCUCCAUGCCUCAUUGCUUCGUCCUUUUGCUUCUCAGGUACCAUUUCAGGUAAAAGAAGUAGCAAAUACGGCUCUAGGUUUGGAAGAACAACAAAGCGAACCUAGAAAAAGGGGUAAAGCAUGACAAGACUUGCGGUAGACCAAAAUAUAUAUCCUAGGGUAAGAGAGGACUCUAAAAACAUAUCUGGCCGCCACGAAAAGAUUAUGGUUCAGUUGCAGAUUUAAUAAACUUAAUCGAGGAAAACGAAUCGUGCUUCUACUGAUUAAGGCUUAUGCUUUCUUAUGGGAAAUCCUAGAUUCAAGCCCAACUGCCACUCUUCCUUAUGAUAAUCAAGCACCAAGAACAAGUACCACAUUAAGCCCAAGGGCUAGCAUCCCUUGAAUUGCCCCAUAGUGUUGUGGUAGUG
RNAcentral lists this long non-coding RNA (625 nucleotides) under Eutrema salsugineum. Its description in RNAcentral is "long non-coding RNA (ESAL_LNC000262)". Lineage: Eukaryota; Viridiplantae; Streptophyta; Magnoliopsida; Brassicales; Brassicaceae. The record is from RNAcentral.